RNAcentral lists this long non-coding RNA (709 nucleotides) under Eucalyptus grandis. RNAcentral's name for it is "long non-coding RNA (EGRA_LNC000822)". Lineage: Eukaryota; Viridiplantae; Streptophyta; Magnoliopsida; Myrtales; Myrtaceae. The record is from RNAcentral.
UUGCUAGGGUUUCCUGGUGCUCCCCAUGGCCGCCGCAUCCGAACGGCCACCCGAGGCGGAGCCGGCGCCUCUCUCGACCCUUCGAUUUGGCCGUUCUCGUUUUCGAUCUUUGAUAGAUUUCGUUUGUUGUUGAUGUGUUUUCCGCGAUCGACCGCACGUAAGUUCUUCCUGGAAAUCCCUCGGCGCGAGCCGUCGGGGCGAAUGAUUUCGAGGAUUUUAUGUGUGCGCACAGCGAGAUGAUCCUGAUCUGCUUGAGCCUUCUCCUCUUGUCUUUCUCCCACGGAGAUGUGCUCCAAUGUAAUCGGAUUACAGUUCUCCUCUUUCUUCCUCUCUGGUUCUUCACUGCUUCUUCCCGUUCGUCUCUCGACGGGGAUGGGCUUCACAAAUUUCGAGCUGAUUAUUCAAGAAAAUGAGUUUUUUUUUUUAUUUAGUAGCAGUUUUUUUGUCUAAAUAGUGAAAUAUAUUUUGACCCAUUUUCCUAAAUAAGAGACACGAUCGAAUUAGAGAAAACCCAUUUUCCAAAAAUCGAUUUUUCGUGAAGUAAACCGAGUACUUAAGAGAUUUAAACAUUUUUGGACUUCCUGAAUUUUAUGAAUUCGUGUUUGUUUAGUUUGUAUUAGGCGUAAUCAAGAGAUUUAUCUUUUCUUUUUCUUUUUUUUUGGGGGGUGGGGAAUCUGCCACUUUUGUUUUUCAGUUUUUGAAAUAAAAA